AAUUCAUCCAAGAUUGCUUCGUGCGGUUGCGGCGUUCCCUCACGGGGCGCCGCGGCCCCGCCUCUCCGGAGGCGUGGGCGCCCGCCGGAGGUACGAAACUCUGUAUUAUAGUGGCAUCUCUGAGUAAAAAACAAAUAAGUUAAAACUUUCAACAACGGAUCUCUUGGUUCUGGCAUCGAUGAAGAACGCAGCGAAAUGCGAUAAGUAAUGUGAAUUGCAGAAUUCAGUGAAUCAUCGAAUCUUUGAACGCACAUUGCGCCCGCUAGUACUCUAGCGGGCAUGCCUGUUCGAGCGUCAUUUCAACCCUCAAGCCCAGCUUGGUGUUGGGGCCCUACGGCUGCCGUAGGCCCUGAAAGGAAGUGGCGGGCUCGCUACAACUCCGAGCGUAGUAAUUCAUUAUCUCGCUAGGGACGUUGCGGCGUGCUCCUGCCGUUAAAGACCAUCUUUAACUCAAGGUUGACCUCGGAUCAGGUAGGAAUACCCGCUGAACUUAAGCAUAUCAAUAAGCGGAGGA
RNAcentral lists this ribosomal RNA (514 nucleotides) under fungal sp. S4.2.2. RNAcentral describes it as "eukaryotic LSU rRNA". The stretch from base 144 to 297 matches the Rfam family "5.8S ribosomal RNA". Lineage: Eukaryota; Fungi. The record is from RNAcentral.